AUACGUAGGUGGCGAGCGUUGUCCGGAUUUAUUGGGCGUAAAGCGAGUGCAGGCGGUCUUUUAAGUCUGAUGUGAAAGCCUUCGGCUUAACCGAAGAAGGGCAUCGGAAACUGGGAGACUUGAGUGCAGAAGGGGAGAGUGGAACUCCAUGUGUAGCGGUGAAAUGCGUAGAUAUAUGGAAGAACACCAGUGGCGAAGGCGGCUGCCUGGUCUGUAACUGACGCUGAGGCUCGAAAGUAUGGGUAGC
RNAcentral lists this ribosomal RNA (247 nucleotides) under uncultured bacterium. RNAcentral describes it as "partial 16S ribosomal RNA". It matches the Rfam family "Bacterial small subunit ribosomal RNA", at positions 523 to 769 of the family's 1533-position model. The record is from RNAcentral.